GAGAUGAGAAUGUGCCUUCGGGAACCGUGAGACAGGUGCUGCAUGGCUGUCGUCAGCUCGUGUUGUGAAAUGUUGGGUUAAGUCCCGCAACGAGCGCAACCCUUAUCCUUUGUUGCCAGCGGUCCGGCCGGGAACUCAAAGGAGACUGCCAGUGAUAAACUGGAGGAAGGUGGGGAUGACGUCAAGUCAUCAUGGCCCUUACGACCAGGGCUACACACGUGCUACAAUGGCGCAUACAAAGAGAAGCGACCUCGCGAGAGCAAGCGGACCUCAUAAAGUGCGUCGUAGUCCGGAUUGGAGUCUGCAACUCGACUCCAUGAAGUCGGAAUCGCUAGUAAUCGUGGAUCAGAAUGCCACGGUGAAUACGUUCCCGGGCCUUGUACACACCGCCCGUCACACCAUGGGAGUGGGUUGCAAAAGAAGUAGGUAGCUUAACCUUCGGGAGGGCGCUUACCACUUUGUGAUUCAUGACUGGGGUGAAGUCGUAACAAGGUAACCGUAGGGGAACCUGC
RNAcentral lists this ribosomal RNA (512 nucleotides) under Escherichia coli. Its description in RNAcentral is "bacterial SSU rRNA". It matches the Rfam family "Bacterial small subunit ribosomal RNA", at positions 1003 to 1515 of the family's 1533-position model. Lineage: Bacteria; Pseudomonadati; Pseudomonadota; Gammaproteobacteria; Enterobacterales; Enterobacteriaceae. RNAcentral also lists the same sequence under 1 other name. The record is from RNAcentral.